RNAcentral lists this ribosomal RNA (1286 nucleotides) under uncultured bacterium. RNAcentral's name for it is "bacterial SSU rRNA". It matches the Rfam family "Bacterial small subunit ribosomal RNA", at positions 94 to 1399 of the family's 1533-position model. The record is from RNAcentral.
AGUGGCGGACGGGUGAGUAACGCGUGAGCAACCUGCCCUUGUGUGGGGGAUACCAUCUGGAAACGGAUGUUAAUACCGCAUAACGUACAAGCGACCGCAUGGUCGUAGUACCAAAGAUUUAUUGCGCAAGGAUGGGCUCGCGUCCCAUUAGAUAGUUGGUGAGGUAACGGCCCACCAAGUCAACGAUGGGUAGCCGGACUGAGAGGUCGAUCGGCCACAUUGGAACUGAGAUACGGUCCAGACUCCUACGGGAGGCAGCAGUGGGGAAUAUUGGGCAAUGGGGGAAACCCUGACCCAGCGACGCCGCGUGAGGGAAGACGGUCUUCGGAUUGUAAACCUCUUUCAGCAGGGAAGAAGAAGUGACGGUACCUGCAGAAGAAGCCACGGCUAACUACGUGCCAGCAGCCGCGGUAAUACGUAGGUGGCAAGCGUUAUCCGGAUUUAUUGGGUGUAAAGGGUGUGUAGGCGGGACUGCAAGUCAGACGUGAAAAUCAUGGGCUCAACCCAUGACUUGCGUUUGAAACUGUGGUUCUUGAGAGUGGGAGAGGUAAACGGAAUUCCUGGUGUAGCGGUGAAAUGCGUAGAUAUCAGGAGGAACACCGGUGGCGAAGGCGGUUUACUGGACCACAACUGACGCUGAGACACGAAAGCGUGGGGAGCAAACAGGAUUAGAUACCCUGGUAGUCCAUGCUGUAAACGAUGAAUACUAGGUGUGGGGGGACUGACCCCUUCCGUGCCGGAGUAAACACAAUAAGUAUUCCACCUGGGGAGUACGACCGCAAGGUUGAAACUCAAAGGAAUUGACGGGGGCCCGCACAAGCAGUGGAGUAUGUGGUUUAAUUCGAAGCAACGCGAAGAACCUUACCAGGUCUUGACAUCCGACUAACGAGAUAGAGAUAUGUUAGGUGCCCUUCGGGGAAAGUCGAGACAGGUGGUGCAUGGUUGUCGUCAGCUCGUGUCGUGAGAUGUUGGGUUAAGUCCCGCAACGAGCGCAACCCUUGCCAUUAGUUGCUACGCAAGAGCACUCUAAUGGGACCGCUACCGACAAGGUGGAGGAAGGUGGGGACGACGUCAAAUCAUCAUGCCCCUUAUGACCUGGGCUACACACGUACUACAAUGGCCGUUAACAGAGGGAAGCAAUACCGCGAGGAGGAGCAAAUCCCUAAAAACGGUCCCAGUUCAGAUUGCAGGCUGAAACUCGCCUGUAUGAAGUUGGAAUUGCUAGUAAUCGCAGAUCAGCAUGCUGCGGUGAAUACGUUCCCGGGCCUUGCACUCACCGCCCGUCA